AUAAAAUCUUCACUAAAAAGCAUUUCCACUAUCAUCCAUUAUCAUUCCAUUAUCCUCAAGCUUGUAUUUCUCAUGGAAUCAUACCCAGCAGUGCUCAAAGAUCUCUCCUGAAGCUCAGGGG
Long non-coding RNA from Suncus etruscus (white-toothed pygmy shrew), 121 nucleotides. RefSeq lists it as uncharacterized. Lineage: Eukaryota; Metazoa; Chordata; Mammalia; Eulipotyphla; Soricidae. The record is from RefSeq and is a predicted model, not a curated record. The transcript has 3 exons.